GGGGGCGUAGCUCAGCGGUAGAGCAACGGUUUUUUAAGCCGUGGGUCGUGGGUUCGAUCCCCACCGCCCUCACCA
Molecule: transfer RNA, 75 nt
Filed under: Planctomycetota bacterium
Lineage: Bacteria; Pseudomonadati; Planctomycetota
Description: Planctomycetes bacterium tRNA-Lys
Rfam family: tRNA
About the family: Transfer RNA (tRNA) molecules are approximately 80 nucleotides in length. Their secondary structure includes four short double-helical elements and three loops (D, anti-codon, and T loops).
Source: RNAcentral